Molecule: ribosomal RNA, 497 nt
Filed under: uncultured bacterium
Lineage: Bacteria
Description: partial 16S ribosomal RNA
Rfam family: Bacterial small subunit ribosomal RNA
Source: RNAcentral
GAUGAACGCUGGCGGCGUGCCUAAUACAUGCAAGUCGAGCGAACAGAUAAGGAGCUUGCUCCUUUGACGUUAGCGGCGGACGGGUGAGUAACACGUGGGUAACCUACCUAUAAGACUGGGAUAACUUCGGGAAACCGGAGCUAAUACCGGAUAACAUUUGGAACCGCAUGGUUCUAAAGUGAAAGAUGGUUUUGCUAUCACUUAUAGAUGGACCCGCGCCGUAUUAGCUAGUUGGUAAGGUAACGGCUUACCAAGGCAACGAUACGUAGCCGACCUGAGAGGGUGAUCGGCCACACUGGAACUGAGACACGGUCCAGACUCCUACGGGAGGCAGCAGUAGGGAAUCUUCCGAAAUGGGCGAAAGCCUGACGGAGCAACGCCGCGUGAGUGAUGAAGGGGUUCGGCUCGUAAAACUCUGUUAUUAGGGAAGAACAAACGUGUAAGUAACUGUGCACGUCUUGACGGUACCUAAUCAGAAAGCCACGGCUAACUACGUG